CGGCGGACGGGUGAGUAACACGUGGAUAACCUACCUAUAAGGCUGGGAUAACUUCGGGAAACCGGAGCUAAUACCGGAUAAUAUAUUGAACCGCAUGGUUCAAUAGUGAAAGACGGUUUUGCUGUCACUUAUAGAUGGAUCCGCGCCGCAUUAGCUAGUUGGUAAGGUAACGGCUUACCAAGGCAACGAUGCGUAGCCGACCUGAGAGGGUGAUCGGCCACACUGGAACUGAGACACGGUCCAG
RNAcentral lists this ribosomal RNA (244 nucleotides) under uncultured Staphylococcus sp. Its description in RNAcentral is "partial 16S ribosomal RNA". It matches the Rfam family "Bacterial small subunit ribosomal RNA", at positions 96 to 334 of the family's 1533-position model. Lineage: Bacteria; Bacillati; Bacillota; Bacilli; Caryophanales; Staphylococcaceae. The record is from RNAcentral.